UACAGAGGUCCCGAGCGUUGUUCGGAUUUAUUGGGCGUAAAGGGUGCGUAGGCGGCGGAGUAAGUUGGGUGUGAAAUCCCGGGGCUCAACCUCGGAAUUGCAUUCAAUACUGCUUCGCUCGAGUACUGGAGAGGAGGCUGGAAUUUACGGUGUAGCAGUGAAAUGCGUAGAUAUCGUAAGGAAGGCCGGUGGCGAAAGCGAGCCUCUGGACAGUUACUGACGCUGAUGCGCGAAGGCCAGGGGAGCAAACGGG
RNAcentral lists this ribosomal RNA (253 nucleotides) under uncultured bacterium. RNAcentral's name for it is "partial 16S ribosomal RNA". It matches the Rfam family "Bacterial small subunit ribosomal RNA", at positions 524 to 776 of the family's 1533-position model. The record is from RNAcentral.